CGUGGUUAAGACAGGCGUAGAAUGUCAUUACCUGAGGAGGAAAAGUUCAUCGUGUCCGGCCAGAAGGAGAAGUUUUACAAGUACUACCACAUUCGCGUUCCAGUCUCCAGUAUUGCUGUGAACGCCGUUUGCGCAUCGCGAUGUGGAGCAGUUUCUGGCGGGAAAAAGGGGCGUGAAAGGAGAAAAAUCAGAGAGGACUGAUCGACAUGGGCGCCUGCACGCGUGCGGAGUUCUGAGUGACUUUUCCGUGCACUCGAAGAAGGUCACGCCUCUAGCCAGCCUCUAGCCUUCUUCGAGCCGUAGCGCGUCGGCCACUUGAAAGAGUGUUGUGUUGAUUUAACCGCAGGAAAACGGACCUUGCAAGCGUUAGUGACCAGCGCUGCCCCUGACUCUCGUAGUGGCAUCUUGAUGUAGAUUGCAGAGUAAAGGAAAAGUAGUGAA
Molecule: long non-coding RNA, 441 nt
Organism: Penaeus monodon (black tiger shrimp)
Lineage: Eukaryota; Metazoa; Arthropoda; Malacostraca; Decapoda; Penaeidae
Exons: 2
Source: RefSeq, a predicted model, not a curated record